Molecule: long non-coding RNA, 199 nt
Filed under: Lathyrus oleraceus (garden pea)
Lineage: Eukaryota; Viridiplantae; Streptophyta; Magnoliopsida; Fabales; Fabaceae
Description: Pisum sativum (pea) long non-coding RNA (PSAT_LNC008251)
Source: RNAcentral
UAAUACACCAAACCAUCAACCAUCACUUACACCCAACAACCUACAUGUAACACCUAACAACUUUUCAACCUAACACAACAACCUUAUACCGCUAGCCAACAUUGCCAUCAAUCAUACACAUCAUGUAACCUAACUCCCUACAACACCCAACAAAACAAUCCAAAAUUUACCCCUCAACAUCAUACACCUAACCACAAAC